GUUGUCAUCUACUCUGUGGACUUCCUCCCUCAGGCAGUAGCUCAGAAAGGCAGCGACUUCUCUGACUGGUCAAGCAGUCUACCAUCAAUACCGCAUGACAUGGGUAGCAUUGUGAAUUGCCAACAUAGAAAUGACUCCUCUAAAUGCAAGGCUAGGAGCAGUGCAAUUGCUGAGACAGGUGACACCAGUUCACCGCACAUACAUUCUGGCACUUCAUCAAUUGCCUCAAGCCAAAGCACAUUUGCGUCUUCAUUUGAGGCCUGGGGUCGGGUGUCUCUGGGUAUGCGUGUUGCUGUCAUCUCUGCAUCAGACUUUGACAGCGUAGGUCAUUGUCAGGCAGCUGAUACAAGCUGCAGCAGUGAAGCCUGACACUAAUCUUGUGUGAUGAUCCAGACUUUCGGUCAUGAUGUGUGUCUUGUGGCCAAUAUCUGCUUUCAUUCUUCGUGAUCCUGGAGCUGUUGAAGCUCAGACGGAGGAUCUCUGAUGUGCCCCUGUGUUGCUCCUUUGCAUGCCAUUACUAUCGUACAUGCCACAUGUACAUUGCAACAAGGCAGGCAUAGAG
Molecule: long non-coding RNA, 562 nt
Filed under: Coccomyxa subellipsoidea
Lineage: Eukaryota; Viridiplantae; Chlorophyta; Trebouxiophyceae; Coccomyxaceae
Description: long non-coding RNA (CSUB_LNC000537)
Source: RNAcentral